Molecule: ribosomal RNA, 253 nt
Filed under: uncultured bacterium
Lineage: Bacteria
Description: partial 16S ribosomal RNA
Rfam family: Bacterial small subunit ribosomal RNA
Source: RNAcentral
UACGUAGGGGGCAAGCGUUGUUCGGAAUUACUGGGCGUAAAGGGCGCGUAGGCGGUACGACAAGUCGGAAGUGAAAGCCCGGGGCUCAACCCUGGAACUGCUUUCGAAACUGUCGAACUUGAGUGCAGAAGAGGCAACUGGAAUUCCCAGUGUAGCGGUGAAAUGCGUAGAUAUUGGGAAGAACACCUGAGGCGAAGGCGGGUUGCUGGGCUGACACUGACGCUGAGGCGCGAAAGCCAGGGGAGCGAACGGG